RNAcentral lists this ribosomal RNA (500 nucleotides) under uncultured bacterium. Its description in RNAcentral is "partial 16S ribosomal RNA". It matches the Rfam family "Bacterial small subunit ribosomal RNA", at positions 30 to 523 of the family's 1533-position model. The record is from RNAcentral.
AUUGAACGCUGGCGGAAUGCUUUACACGUGCAAGUCGAACGGCAGCACGGACCUCGGUCUGGUGGCGAGUGGCGAACGGGUGAGUAAUGUAUCGGAACGUGCCCAGUCGUGGGGGAUAACGUAGUGAAAAUUACGCUAAUACCGCAUACGAUCUAUGGAUGAAAGCGGGGGAUCGCAAGACCUCGCGCGAUUGGAGCGGCCGAUAUCAGAUUAGGUAGUUGGUGGGGUAAAGGCCCACCAAGCAAACGAUCUGUAGCUGGUCUGAGAGGACGAACAGCCACACUGGAACUGAGACACGGUCCAGACUCCUACGGGAGGCAGCAGUGGGGAAUUUUGGACAAUGGGCGAAAGCCUGAUCCAGCCAUUCCGCGUGCAGGAUGAAGGCCCUCGGGUUGUAAACUGCUUUUGUACAGAACGAAAAGGUUUCUACUAAUACUAGGAGCUCAUGACGGUACUGUAAGAAUAAGCACCGGCUAACUACGUGCCAGCCGCCGCCGUAA